RNAcentral lists this transfer RNA (66 nucleotides) under Actinomycetota bacterium. RNAcentral's name for it is "tRNA-Ala". Lineage: Bacteria; Bacillati; Actinomycetota. The record is from RNAcentral.
GGGGCCGAGGGGCACCGCCUGCUUUGCACGCAGGGGGGUCUGGCGGUUCGAGCCCGCUCCGCUCCA